Molecule: long non-coding RNA, 1528 nt
Organism: Pantherophis guttatus
Lineage: Eukaryota; Metazoa; Chordata; Lepidosauria; Squamata; Colubridae
Source: RefSeq, a predicted model, not a curated record
GGAUGAGAAGUGAAAUAUUUUCAAGAAAACAACGACAAAGUCCAGUUGCCUUUUGAAAAGCACCUUUGGGUUUGGUUUAAUCCCCUAUCAUAAAUGUACAUGUGUUGGAGGUACAGCAGAAACUGAGGAUAUAAUAUAUAUUGUAUAUUAUUUGAAUGUUUGUUGUCUCCAUAUCUCAGAACAUAUUUUAAAAGCGCAGUCAGAAUAUUACAAUAAAAUGGUCCCCUUUUUGAAUAAAACAGUGCAACUGAGAGCCACAUAUGUCAAUAUAACUGAGGUAAACUAUAAAGUGAUAAGAACAUAUGAAUCAAGUUUUUCUUUUUGUUUUGUUAUCAAUAGUCUUAUUCAAUUUUUCUGUACAGGUAAUCUUCAAUUUAUGAAAGUAAUGGAGCCUGCCCAUUUUGGUUGUAAGGUGUGAGAACUUUAAUUGAAACUUGUUGAGUGAAAGAGCCCUCAUCCUGGAUCACCCCAAUGCAUACAUUAAACAAAUGUAGGGGUGAAUGCAGUGGUGGUUAAAUGUGCAUGAGGUGCCUCAGGGAUGCCUGCCUGGGGCCUCCCCCACCCCAAGAUAAGGGCGAUGCAGAGGGAGCUGCUUUGCCUUGUUUGAAACCUGACCUGGAAGGCAAAACUAUUCUCCCCCCCCCCUCUGCAUUGCCCUUUUAACACUGAACCCUUCAUUGUCCGUUUUCCAUGUCACUGCAUCAGCUCCUGUUUCUCCCCUUUCCUUUAAAAACAUUUUUUACCAGGAAAUUUAGAAACUUCAAAGCACAAACUGUGGCUCAUUAUCCUGUUUUGAGUUAAAGAGGCCAUACAGAAAGGCAGAAGGCUGGGAAAAUGCUGCUUUGCCGAGGUCAGUUUGAAAAUGGCUGCUCCACAUGGCCCAGUAAGAAUGGCACACAAUAUACUGAGUUCUGCAGAUCUCCGGAAGGUUUUUGAAGAAAGUGAAGAUGAUGUUGGAGACAGAUUAAGGGGAGCAAUCAGACUGCUUAUUAUUUCACUCAGUUGAGCACUCUGAAUGGUACAAGGAGAAAAUAUAUAUAUUCAAUUUAAUAUACUAUAAGUACUUAACUAAAAAAAUAUCAGUUGUGUCCAUAUUAUACCUAAAUUCUAUGCUUCAUAACUGAACCUUACCAAUAUCAAAUGAAGAGUUAAUUUGAAUUUUUAAAAUGCCUUGCAAAAUAAUAUAGACCAUAUCAAACUCAAAUCCUAAAGAGAUUUAUGAAAAUUUAGAAGACAUUGAUAUAUGCAAAAACCAAAACAAAUUACAAUUGUGGUGUCCAUGUUCCUUACUGAGAAAUAAUCCCUGAGAUCUUGAGGUGGCUCCAUUAUGGCUGUUAACGUAUGACUUAUUAAGGUUAUUUUCUGAUAUAAGCAUAUUUGAACAGUUGAACAGCUAAUCUUAAAUUGAAUACUACCUGUAAAGCACAAGGAAAAGCCAAGGAUUGUAAUUCUCUUUCUCUAUAAAUGUGAAAUAUUUCUCUUUUUGUGCUGAUAAGUAUUUUACCAAUAAAAGACCUUCAAUAUGGUA